CAGCCGCCACGGUAAUACGAAGGGUGCAGGCGUUAAUCGGAAUUACUGGGCGUAAAGCGUGCGUAGGCGGUUUGUUAAGUCUGUUGUGAAAUCCCCGGGCUCAACCUGGGAAUGGCAAUGGAUACUGGCAAGCUAGAGUGUGUCAGAGGAUGGUGGAAUUCCCGGUGUAGCGGUGAAAUGCGUAGAGAUCGGGAGGAACAUCAGUGGCGAAGGCGGCCAUCUGGGACAACACUGACGCUGAGGCACGAAAGCGUGGGGAGCAAACAGGAUUAGAGACCCGCGUAGUUCCUGUCUCUUAUAC
This 301-nucleotide ribosomal RNA is filed under the name uncultured bacterium. RNAcentral describes it as "partial 16S ribosomal RNA". It matches the Rfam family "Bacterial small subunit ribosomal RNA", at positions 509 to 807 of the family's 1533-position model. The record is from RNAcentral.